CAAGUCGAGCGAGAACCAAGGCUUCGGCCUUGGGGAAAGCGGCGAACGGGUGAGUAACACGUGGGUAAUCUGCCCUCGACAUCGGGAUAGCCCGGGGAAACCCGGAUUAAUACCGAAUGGCCCAUCAGCUUUUCGGAGCAGAUGGAAAAGGUAGCUUCGGCCUCCGGUCGAGGAGGAGCCCGCGGCGGAUUAGCUUGUUGGUGAGGUAACGGCUCACCAAGGCUCCGAUCCGUAGCUGUUCUGAGAGGACGAUCAGCCACACUGGGACUGAGACACGGCCCAGACUCCUACGGGAGGCAGCAGUGGGGAAUCUUGCGCAAUGGGCGAAAGCCUGACGCAGCGACGCCGCGUGAGGGAAGAAGGCCUUCGGGUUGUAAACCUCUUUCAGGAGGGACGAAGCCACUCGGGUUAAUAGCCCAGAGGGUGACGGUACCUCCAGAAGAAGCCCCGGCUAACUACGUGCCAGCAGCCGCGGUAAUACGUAGGGGGCUAGCGUUGUCCGGAUUUAUUGGGCGUAAAGAGCGUGUAGGCGGCCAGGUAGGUCUGCUGUGAAAACUCGAGGCUCAACCUCGAGACGUCGGCGGAAACCAUCUGGCUAGAGUCCGGAAGAGGAGAGUGGAAUUCCUGGUGUAGCGGUGAAAUGCGCAGAUAUCAGGAAGAACACCCGUGGCGAAGGCGGCUCUCUGGGACGGUACUGACGCUGAGAUGCGAAAGCGUGGGGAGCGAACAGGAUUAGAUACCCUGGUAGUCCACGCCGUAAACGAUGGGUGCUAGGUGUGGGCGGUGUCGACUCCGUCCGUGCCGAAGCUAACGCAUUAAGCACCCCGCCU
This 830-nucleotide ribosomal RNA is filed under the name uncultured bacterium. Its description in RNAcentral is "bacterial SSU rRNA". It matches the Rfam family "Bacterial small subunit ribosomal RNA", at positions 58 to 874 of the family's 1533-position model. The record is from RNAcentral.